This 229-nucleotide long non-coding RNA is filed under the name Elaeis guineensis (African oil palm). RNAcentral's name for it is "long non-coding RNA (EGUI_LNC050461)". The record is from RNAcentral. Lineage: Eukaryota; Viridiplantae; Streptophyta; Magnoliopsida; Arecales; Arecaceae.
GAGGUGUUCAGGCGAUCCAAAAAAAGGAGUCUUCAUCAGUCAUUUAGGACCUUCUAUGUGAGCUAGCACUCCUGAAAAGGACGAUUUGCUUGGGGCUUCGAGUGGAGUACUUGUAGAGGUCGGUUGUGCUGUGCGACUGCUCGACAUUAGAAAGAACUUCAUACUAAAGAAAAGUGUGGCAGUUUUGUACAUGCAUUUUUAAAAUUUUACAGUAGAAUAUACAUAGAUU